GAGCGAACGCUGGCGGCAGGCCUAACACAUGCAAGUCGAACGAACCUUUCGGGGUUAGUGGCGGACGGGUGAGUAACACGUGGGAACGUGCCUUUAGGUUCGGAAUAACUCAGGGAAACUUGUGCUAAUACCGAAUGUGCCCUUCGGGGGAAAGAUUUAUCGCCUUUAGAGCGGCCCGCGUCUGAUUAGCUAGUUGGUUGAGGUAAUGGCUCACCAAGGCGACGAUCAGUAGCUGGUCUGAGAGGAUGAUCAGCCACAUUGGGACUGAGACACGGCCCAAACUCCUACGGGAGGCAGCAGUGGGGAAUCUUGCGCAAUGGGCGAAAGCCUGACGCAGCCAUGCCGCGUGAAUGAUGAAGGUCUUAGGAUUGUAAAAUUCUUUCACCGGGGACGAUAAUGACGGUACCCGGAGAAGAAGCCCCGGCUAACUUCGUG
Molecule: ribosomal RNA, 435 nt
Filed under: uncultured bacterium
Lineage: Bacteria
Description: partial 16S ribosomal RNA
Rfam family: Bacterial small subunit ribosomal RNA
Source: RNAcentral